CUUAUUAUUUAGAGGAAGGAGAAGUCRURWMMAGGUUUCCGUAGGUGAACCUSMSGAAGGAUCAUUGUGGAAACUGAACGKMMSAAUGACCCGCGRAUYGUCGUUGCGUACCGGGGAGAGCUYGUGAGCGCCUAAUGCUYGUGCGGCUCGCGUCGUGUCGGCGUGGAUGGUGCUCGAUUGAGGCCAGCGUCGCAUCGACGAACAAACAACGUCAGCMCGGAUCGUGCCAAGGAGCYGCAUGGAGGGAAUYGUUGUCCCCCCGCCUUCRAUUGUCUUCRAUGCGGRACGGGAGGCGGGGGGAUAUACGCAAUCUCUACUCGUGUCUAUAAAUGACUCUCGACAACGGAUAUCUCGGYUCUUGCAUCGAUGAAGAACGUAGCGAAAUGCGAUACUGGGUGUGAAUUGCAGAAUCCCGCGAACCAUCAAAUCUUUGAACGCAAGUUBCGCCCGAAGCCAUUCGGCCGAGGGCACGCCUGCCUGGGSGUCGUGAAUCCCCCUUGCCCCUUGGCACCCGUGUGCCAUGCAUGCGCAUUGACGGGGAUGUGCUCGGGCGCAGAGUGUGGUCUCCCGUGCGAUCGGCAUGCACGGCAUGUCGAGGCGCGGUUGGCCGAAAAUCGGGCAUUGCGGCGACGGGCACCACGGCGUUCGGUGGAUCGAAUGAGAUUGGCUGCGCCGUGGUCUCGGCACGCCGCGGGCUCCGGACUUCGACAAUCCCCGAGUGCGAUCCCAGGUCAGGCGGGACUACCCGCUGAGUUUAAGCAUAUCAAUAAGCGGAGGAAAAGAAACUAACGAGGAUUCCCUUAGUAGCGGCGAGCGAAUCGGGAAGAGCCCAGCGUGAAAAUCGUCCGUCGUCGGCGGCCGAAUUGUAGUCUGGAGAAGCGUCCUCAGUGACGGASSGAGACCCAAGUUCGCUKGMAGGCGGCGSCGGARAGGGKRAGMC
RNAcentral lists this ribosomal RNA (940 nucleotides) under Henriettea succosa. RNAcentral's name for it is "eukaryotic LSU rRNA". The stretch from base 722 to 940 matches the Rfam family "Eukaryotic large subunit ribosomal RNA", at positions 1 to 218 of the family's 3401-position model. Lineage: Eukaryota; Viridiplantae; Streptophyta; Magnoliopsida; Myrtales; Melastomataceae. The record is from RNAcentral.